AGAGUUUGAUCAUGGCUCAGAUUGAACGCUGGCGGCAGGCCUAACACAUGCAAGUCGAACGGUAACAGGAAACAGCUUGCUGUUUCGCUGACGAGUGGCGGACGGGUGAGUAAUGUCUGGGAAACUGCCUGAUGGAGGGGGAUAACUACUGGAAACGGUAGCUAAUACCGCAUAACGUCGCAAGACCAAAGAGGGGGACCUCGGGCCUCUUGCCAUCGGAUGUGCCCAGAUGGGAUUAGCUUGUUGGUGGGGUAACGGCUCACCAAGGCGACGAUCCCUAGCUGGUCUGAGAGGAUGACCAGCCACACUGGAACUGAGACACGGUCCAGACUCCUACGGGAGGCAGCAGUGGGGAAUAUUGCACAAUGGGCGCAAGCCUGAUGCAGCCAUGCCGCGUGUAUGAAGAAGGCCUUCGGGUUGUAAAGUACUUUCAGCGGGGAGGAAGGGAGUAAAGUUAAUACCUUUGCUCAUUGACGUUACCCGCAGAAGAAGCACCGGCUAACUCCGUGCCAGCAGCCGCGGUAAUACGGAGGGUGCAAGCGUUAAUCGGAAUUACUGGGCGUAAAGCGCACGCAGGCGGUUUGUUAAGUCAGAUGUGAAAUCCCCGGGCUCAACCUGGGAACUGCAUCUGAUACUGGCAAGCUUGAGUCUCGUAGAGGGGGGUAGAAUUCCAGGUGUAGCGGUGAAAUGCGUAGAGAUCUGGAGGAAUACCGGUGGCGAAGGCGGCCCCCUGGACGAAGACUGACGCUCAGGUGCGAAAGCGUGGGGAGCAAACAGGAUUAGAUACCCUGGUAGUCCACGCCGUAAACGAUGUCGACUUGGAGGUUGUGCCCUUGAGGCGUGGCUUCCGGAGCUAACGCGUUAAGUCGACCGCCUGGGGAGUACGGCCGCAAGGUUAAAACUCAAAUGAAUUGACGGGGGCCCGCACAAGCGGUGGAGCAUGUGGUUUAAUUCGAUGCAACGCGAAGAACCUUACCUGGUCUUGACAUCCACAGAACUUUCCAGAGAUGGAUUGGUGCCUUCGGGAACUGUGAGACAGGUGCUGCAUGGCUGUCGUCAGCUCGUGUUGUGAAAUGUUGGGUUAAGUCCCGCAACGAGCGCAACCCUUAUCCUUUGUUGCCAGCGGUCCGGCCGGGAACUCAAAGGAGACUGCCAGUGAUAAACUGGAGGAAGGUGGGGAUGACGUCAAGUCAUCAUGGCCCUUACGACCAGGGCUACACACGUGCUACAAUGGCGCAUACAAAGAGAAGCGACCUCGCGAGAGCAAGCGGACCUCAUAAAGUGCGUCGUAGUCCGGAUUGGAGUCUGCAACUCGACUCCAUGAAGUCGGAAUCGCUAGUAAUCGUGGAUCAGAAUGCCACGGUGAAUACGUUCCCGGGCCUUGUACACACCGCCCGUCACACCAUGGGAGUGGGUUGCAAAAGAAGUAGGUAGCUUAACCUUCGGGAGGGCGCUUACCACUUUGUGAUUCAUGACUGGGGUGAAGUCGUAACAAGGUAACCGUAGGGGAACCUGCGGUUGGAUCACCU
This 1529-nucleotide ribosomal RNA is filed under the name Escherichia coli MP021566.1. Its description in RNAcentral is "bacterial SSU rRNA". It matches the Rfam family "Bacterial small subunit ribosomal RNA". The record is from RNAcentral. Lineage: Bacteria; Pseudomonadati; Pseudomonadota; Gammaproteobacteria; Enterobacterales; Enterobacteriaceae.